CAUGCAAGUCGAACGAGGAUGUAUCCUUCGGGAUAUAAGCCGAGUGGCGCAAGGGUGAGUAAUGCAUAGAUUACCUGCCUCUAGGAUAAGGACAACUUUGUGAAAACGAAGCUAAUACUUAAUGAUACAAAAGGAAAUAAUUUUCUUUUGUCAAUGGGAGGGUAGCAAUACCUUUUGCCUAGAGAGGGGUUUAUGUCCUAUCAGCUUGUUGGUGGGGUAAUGGCCUACCAAGGCGAAGACGGGUAGCCGGUCUUAGAGGAUGGUCGGCCACACUGGGACUGAGACACUGCCCAGACUUCUACGGAAGGCUGCAGUCGAGAAUCUUUCGCAAUGCCCGAAAGGGUGACGAAGCGACGCCGCGUGAGUGAGGAAGGCCUUAGGGUUGUAAAGCUCUGUCAGGAGUUAAGAAAUAUAAAUGUGCUAAUACCACAUUUAUUUGACGAAGGCUCCAAAGGAAGCCACGGCUAACUCUGUGCCAGCAGCCGCGGUAAUACAGAGGUGGCAAGCGUUGUUCGGAAUUAUUGGACGUAAAGAGCACGUAGGUGGGUUUGUAAGUCAGAUGUGAAAGCCUUCUGUUCAACGGAAGAAUUGCAUCUGAAACUACAAGUCUUGAGUGUAGGAGGGGAGAAUGGAACUUCUGGUGGAGCGGUGAAAUGCGUAGAUAUCAGAAGGAACGCCGGCGGCGAAAGCGAUUCUCUGGCCUAUUACUGACACUCAGUGUGCGAAAGCUAGGGGAGCAAACGGGAUUAGAUACCCCGGUAGUCCUAGCCGUAAACGAUGGGCACUAAGUAGAGGGAAUUACCGAUGUUCUCUCUGCCGUAGCUAACGCAUUAAGUGCCCCGCCUGGGGAGUACGGCCGCAAGGCUAAAACUCAAAAGAAUUGACGGGGGCUCGCACAAGCGGUGGAGCAUGUGGCUUAAUUCGAUGCAACGCGAAAAACCUUACCGGGGCUUGACAUGGUAGAAGUAGGAACCCGAAAGGGUAACGAACGGUAUCCAGUCCGUAGCUAUCACAGGUGUUGCAUGGCUGUCGUCAGCUCGUGUCGUGAGACGUUGGGUUAAGUCCCCUAACGAGCGAAACCCUUGUUUUUAGUUACCAGCGGGUUAUGCCGGGUACUCUAGAAAGACUGCCGUCGUCAAGACGGAGGAAGGUGGGGAUGACGUCAAGUCAUCAUGGCCCUUAUGCCCCGGGCUGCACACGUGCUACAAUGGUCGGUACAAACGGAAGCGAAGCCGAGAGGUGAAGCGAAUCCUAAAAAGCCGAUCUCAGUUCGGAUUGGAGGCUGAAAUUCGCCUCCAUGAAGUUGGAAUCGCUAGUAAUCGCGGAUCAGCAAUGCCGCGGUGAAUAUGUUCCCGAGCCUUGUACACACCGCCCGUCAAGCCACCCAAGCAGGAUGCACCCGAAAACAUUAUAUCUAACCAGGGCAACUUGGAGGAAAGUGUUGAAGGAGUGUUUUGUGAGGAGGACUAAGUCGUAACAAGGUAGUCGUAGGAGAACCUGCGGCUGGAUCACCUCCUUUCU
Molecule: ribosomal RNA, 1521 nt
Filed under: uncultured Planctomycetales bacterium
Lineage: Bacteria; Pseudomonadati; Planctomycetota; Planctomycetia; Planctomycetales
Description: 16S ribosomal RNA
Rfam family: Bacterial small subunit ribosomal RNA
Source: RNAcentral